AUUGAACGCUGGCGGCAUGCCUUACACAUGCAAGUCGAACGGCAGCACGGGUGCUUGCACCUGGUGGCGAGUGGCGAACGGGUGAGUAAUACAUCGGAACAUGUCCUGUCGUGGGGGAUAGCCCGGCGAAAGCCGGACUAAUACCGCAUACGAUCUACGGAUGAAAGCGGGGGACCUUCGGGCCUCGCGCUAUAGGGUUGGCCGAUGGCUGAUUAGCUAGUUGGUGGGGUAAAGGCCUACCAAGGCGACGAUCAGUAGCUGGUCUGAGAGUACGACCAGCCACACUGGGACUGAGACACGGCCCAGACUCCUACGGGAGGCAGCAGUGGGGAAUUUUGGACAAUGGGCGAAAGCCUGAUCCAGCAAUGCCGCGUGUGUGAAGAAGGCCUUCGGGUUGUAAAGCACUUUUGUCCGGAAAGAAAUCCUUGGCCCUAAUACGGUCGGGGGAUGACGGUACCGGAAGAAUAAGCACCGGCUAACUACGUG
Molecule: ribosomal RNA, 486 nt
Filed under: uncultured bacterium
Lineage: Bacteria
Description: partial 16S ribosomal RNA
Rfam family: Bacterial small subunit ribosomal RNA
Source: RNAcentral